This 493-nucleotide ribosomal RNA is filed under the name uncultured bacterium. RNAcentral describes it as "partial 16S ribosomal RNA". It matches the Rfam family "Bacterial small subunit ribosomal RNA", at positions 29 to 523 of the family's 1533-position model. The record is from RNAcentral.
AUUGAACGCUGGCGGCAUGCUUUACACAUGCAAGUCGAACGGUAACGGGUUAAGCUGACGAGUGGCGAACGGGUGAGUAAUGCAUCGGAACGUGCCCGGUCGUGGGGGAUAACGCAGCGAAAGCUGCGCUAAUACCGCAUACGAUCAAAGGAUGAAAGCGGGGGACCGUAAGGCCUCGCGCGAUCGGAGCCGCCGAUGUCAGAUUAGGUAGUUGGUGGGGUAAAGGCUCACCAAGCCAACGAUCUGUAGCUGGUCUGAGAGGACGACCAGCCACACUGGGACUGAGACACGGCCCAGACUCCUACGGGAGGCAGCAGUGGGGAAUUUUGGACAAUGGGCGAAAGCCUGAUCCAGCAAUGCCGCGUGCAGGAAGAAGGCCUUCGGGUUGUAAACUGCUUUUGUACGGAGCGAAAAGGUCUCCUCUAAUACAGGGGGCUCAUGACGGUACCGUAAGAAUAAGCACCGGCUAACUACGUGCCAGCCGCCGCAGUAA